Molecule: ribosomal RNA, 253 nt
Filed under: uncultured bacterium
Lineage: Bacteria
Description: partial 16S ribosomal RNA
Rfam family: Bacterial small subunit ribosomal RNA
Source: RNAcentral
UACGAAGGGGGCUAGCGUUGUUCGGAAUUACUGGGCGUAAAGCGCGCGCAGGCGGUCUUCCAAGUCAGUGGUGAAAGCCCGGAGCUCAACUCCGGAACUGCCAUUGAAACUGUUAGACUUGAGGAUGAGAGAGGUGAGUGGAAUUCCCAGUGUAGAGGUGAAAUUCGUAGAUAUUGGGAAGAACACCGGUGGCGAAGGCGGCUCACUGGCUCAUUUCUGACGCUCAGGCGCGACAGCGUGGGGAUCAAACAGG